AUUCUUGGGUUUGUUCUCUCGGCUAUUGCUUUUUCCCUCAAGAAGAGAAGGAUUUUUUUCCCUCAAUCUCCAUCUAGCUCUCGGCCCUCCUCUUUUCCAGAAACAAAAAAAUUUUCAGCACACUUCAACAAACAAACACACACACAAAAGGAAAAAAAAAACUCUCUCGGCCUUUCUAUCCCUCUCGGCUCUUCUUUUCCUUUCUUGUUCUCUCAAGAAAAAAAAUUUCCUUAGACAACAAAAUUUUCCCUUCAACUCUCUAUCUCUCUCGGUUCUCACCUCUCUUUCCCCCUAUCAAUUUCAUACACCUACUAGCAAAACAACAAAAAAAAAAAUAAAGAGCAAGCCAUUGGACAGUUGGAGGUUUGGAGUUUCAUCAAAGCAUUUUAACCAACUCCAUUUUCGGUGAGGUAUCUCUCAAUUUUUUGAAGCAAAUUAAAUUCAUGUUGAUUGCUUAAUUUCUCUUGCUUUUGUUGGGUGUUGUUGUUGCUGUUGUUAUGUUGCUAAAUGUUGGGGUUAAGUUACAAACAAGAUUGAAGAAAGAGAAGUAAUUUUUCUGUAUGCAAGCUAAAUGUUUGAUAAAAUGCCAAAAUGAAAAGAAUCAAAAUUAGUGAAUUUUUUGUGCAUAGUUUUGUUAAAAUGAAUGACCCGUAGCUAGUACAGGGCCUGGAAAAGAUGUUUGAUUGUCCAAAAUUUAAGUUUUGACCUCAAAAGCAAAGAAUGAAUUUUUUCAAAAUUAGGGGGCCAUUUUGCCUUAAUUUAGGCUUUUGUUGUUGUUUUCUUGUCAAAAUAAGAUCAUAGUUAUAAUGUAGAAGUUAUAAUGAGUGUUGUAGUAUAAUUUUUAUGAUUUUUGGUGAAAAUUUGAGGGUUAAAAAAAUAUAAAAAAAUUGGACUGACUUUUGCUAUUUUUGGCCACUUUCAGGUCAUAUUUUGUAAAAUCUAACUUCAAAAACGGAAUCUACGCGAAAAAUCGAGUGAGGGGGUGUAUUUUGAGAAAAUUUGGCGGCGGCCACCAGCUGCAAGAAGCUUCUGCUGGCCGGAGUGGAAGAAUAAGAAAAAAGAAGAAGAAGAAGAAGAAAGGAAAGAAAGGGAAGAAAAGAAGGAAAAGAGAAUUGGGCUGAUGUUUUUUUUCUUGUGGGCUUGUGUUUAUUUUUGAUUGGGUUUUGGGAAUGGGUUUUUGUUUAUUUCUUUUGGGUUUCGAUUUGGGCUAAGAUGUCAGAGCCCAUGCAUUUUUUGGUCGGAUUUGAGUGAUAAAAGGAUGGGCUGGACCGCUUAUUUCCUUUGGGUUUCGGCGGGGCUUAGGAAUUUCCGACCUAAGCAAAAAUAAUAAGAAAGGCCCGAUGGCCUUUUCUUGCCAAGUCAAAAAUCGAAAUUUGCAUUCUAGCCCCUGAUCUUUGGAGCAGUUUCACUGUGAUCCUGAAAAUUUUAAUUUUUUUUCACUUAGGUCCUUAAAUUAAUUGCACUUUGGUCCCUGAAUUUUAUCAUUUAUUUAAUUUUGACCCCUAAACUUUGGAAAAAUAUAUUUUGACCAUAAAAGCUUUUUUGAAUUUGUAAUUUAAUC
Molecule: long non-coding RNA, 1561 nt
Filed under: Coffea arabica (coffee)
Lineage: Eukaryota; Viridiplantae; Streptophyta; Magnoliopsida; Gentianales; Rubiaceae
Description: long non-coding RNA (CARA_LNC001710)
Source: RNAcentral